Molecule: transfer RNA, 47 nt
Filed under: Camelus knoblochi
Lineage: Eukaryota; Metazoa; Chordata; Mammalia; Artiodactyla; Camelidae
Description: partial tRNA-Tyr
Rfam family: tRNA
About the family: Transfer RNA (tRNA) molecules are approximately 80 nucleotides in length. Their secondary structure includes four short double-helical elements and three loops (D, anti-codon, and T loops).
Source: RNAcentral
GGUAAGAUGGCCGAGUAGGCAUUAGACUGUAAAUCUAAAGACAGAGG